This 421-nucleotide ribosomal RNA is filed under the name uncultured bacterium. RNAcentral describes it as "bacterial SSU rRNA". It matches the Rfam family "Bacterial small subunit ribosomal RNA", at positions 355 to 774 of the family's 1533-position model. The record is from RNAcentral.
UAAGGAAUAUUGGACAAUGGAGGCAACUCUGAUCCAGCAUGCCGCGUGAAGGAAUAAGGCCCUAUGGGUUGUAAACUUCUUUUAGACGGGACAAAACCCCUUUACGUGUAAAGGGUUGAUGGUACUGUCAGAAUAAGCAUCGGCUAACUUCGUGCCAGCAGCCGCGGUAAUACGAAGGAUGCAAGCGUUAUCCGGAAUUAUUGGGUUUAAAGGGUGCGUAGGCGGACUAAUAAGUCAGUGGUGAAAGCCUGCAGCUUAACUGCAGAAUUGCCAUUGAUACUGUUAGUCUUGAGUACAAUUGAGGUAGGCGGAAUGUGUCAUGUAGCGGUGAAAUGCUUAGAUAUGACACAGAACACCGAUUGCGAAGGCAGCUUGCUAAGCUGUAACUGACGCUGAGGCACGAAAGCGUUGGGAGCAAACA